UUUCCUGAUCACAACUCUGAAAUUCCAUGAUGUAGGCAUAGCCUUCCAUUAUUUCAUCUUUCCCUGUGCCUGAGCCUUCUGAAAUGUAUUACUGAUCUUCAUUGUGACCUCCAGUUCCUUUAUCUCAGUAUUCUGCCAGAUCAUCAUUUCUGCUCUGCCUUUGAUCUCCUCCCUUACCGCUCUUAACCCCAUAGUUAAUCAGUUCAACUGGACACUUUCCUUGUCUCUUGAUUCCAUGGAUCCUGUGGCCAGAGGUGUGCUGGAGCCAAGUAGACAGCGGAUUGUUACACUUUUAACCUGGUUGUUAAACCCCUGCCUAAUACACUUCAUACCCUCCUGAACAUCACCUUCAGAUGACUCUUACAGCCUGCCUCUUCCAUGCGUUCUCAUAUGCUGCUGAAUGAAUUUUGGGAGCAUCGUACAACCAUGCCAUCUGUGUCUACUACAAAUUGAUGUUAUCUCAUCUCAACUGGAUCCUUAUUGUAGGAAGAUGAGUAGAUCACAGCACAGAGAGGGAGGCAGGUAAUAUUGAAGAGAAAUGGGAGGAGAACAGAAGCCAGCCCAAAACAGCAUAAGUAUGCGAUCUCUAGUGUCCCUAGUUCCAUGCCAGCCUGGUGGCUCAUUCCCAGGUAGCCAAUUGGGCUCAAAUUUGUAUAGAAUGCUUAGCCAAAGAGCUGAUGUAGCAUCAGCAAGAGCUGCCUUGU
Long non-coding RNA from Monodelphis domestica (gray short-tailed opossum), 704 nucleotides. RefSeq lists it as uncharacterized. The record is from RefSeq and is a predicted model, not a curated record. NCBI's taxonomy places the organism in Eukaryota, Metazoa, Chordata, Mammalia, Didelphimorphia, Didelphidae.